Molecule: ribosomal RNA, 96 nt
Filed under: uncultured bacterium
Lineage: Bacteria
Description: partial 16S ribosomal RNA
Rfam family: Bacterial small subunit ribosomal RNA
Source: RNAcentral
CUUGUACACACCGCCCGUCACAUCAUGGAAGCUGGCGUUGCCCAAAGUACGUUGACCUCACGGUCGCGUCCUAAGGCAAUGGUGGUAACUGGGAUG